AACUGAGGAUAAUACCGGAUAGGCAAUUAUUCCUGGAAUGGUUUUUUGUUUAAAUGUUUUUUCGCCUAAGGAUGGGUCUGCGGCCGAUUAGGUAGUUGGUUAGGUAACGGCUUACCAAGCCAUUGAUCGGUACGGGUUGUGAGAGCAAGAGCCCGGAGAUGGAACCUGAGACAAGGUUCCAGGCCCUACGGGGUGCAGCAGGCGCGAAACCUCCGCAAUGUGAGAAAUCGCG
This 232-nucleotide ribosomal RNA is filed under the name uncultured archaeon. RNAcentral describes it as "partial 16S ribosomal RNA". It matches the Rfam family "Archaeal small subunit ribosomal RNA", at positions 138 to 369 of the family's 1478-position model. The record is from RNAcentral.